UCCGUAGGCGGAUUGAUAAGUCAGAGGUGAAAUCUUUCGGCUCAACCGAGAAACUGCCAGUGAUACUGUUAAUCUUGAGUUCGGUUGAGGUAGGCGGAAUGUGUAAUGUAGCGGUGAAAUGCUUAGAUAUUACACAGAACACCAAUUGCGUAGGCAGCUUACUAGACCGACACUGACGCUGAGGCACGAAAGCGUGGGGAGCGAACAGGAUUAGAUACCCUGGUAGUCC
RNAcentral lists this ribosomal RNA (229 nucleotides) under uncultured bacterium. RNAcentral describes it as "partial 16S ribosomal RNA". It matches the Rfam family "Bacterial small subunit ribosomal RNA", at positions 568 to 796 of the family's 1533-position model. The record is from RNAcentral.